UCUUUGGAGAGUUUGAUCCUGGCUCAGGACGAACGCUGGCGGCGUGCCUAAUACAUGCAAGUCGAGCGGACCGGAUUGGGGCUUGCCUUGAUUCGGUCAGCG
RNAcentral lists this ribosomal RNA (102 nucleotides) under Geobacillus stearothermophilus. Its description in RNAcentral is "partial 16S ribosomal RNA". It matches the Rfam family "Bacterial small subunit ribosomal RNA", at positions 1 to 97 of the family's 1533-position model. The record is from RNAcentral. Lineage: Bacteria; Bacillati; Bacillota; Bacilli; Caryophanales; Anoxybacillaceae.